UUCGUUGCCAAAAAAAAUCCGAAGAUAUAUAUACUGCCGAAGAUAUACAUAUAUAUAUGUAAAAAAAACACGAGGAAAAAAAUUACGAAAAGCUGUAAAGAGCAUUAGCUUUGUGCAAUUACGCCAACGUCGCGACGGCCGACGCUUUUCCAACGAGACGGCUGCUCCUUCGUGUGGAAAUGAACAGUUUCCGGCGUGUUGAAAAAUCCUAUAAAAAUUGGUCUUUGAAUUGGGAUCGAGAUUCGGUUGUGUAAUUGUACUUUGUGAAAUGAAAUGCGUGGCACGUUUGGAAAAGCGUCGUCGCACCAGCAGCUCUGAGCUAGCUAAUAGAAGUAAAAAAAACAGGUAAAUGCGUGUAUCAGCUACAAAGAAAAAGAAAGAAUCAAAAUUAAUAUUGUUAAGUUCGAAUAAGAAUGAUUUAAUUAAAAUAAACGAUAAAUUAGAAAGAGAAAAACAGAUAAUAGAACGUAAAUUUAGAGGUGUGCGGGAUCGACUCGGGACGAUCUUGAACUUCGGAUUGGCUCGGCAAUAAUCGGUCGCGUUCGGCUGAAAGCCUCGAUAGCUGCUGCCUCGAGCCGAUCGCGCCCGAUCAGUGCCGUGUCGUGUCGAAGUUACGACUGUCGUUCGAAAAGAAUCUCGAGUGUUAUGAAUGUCGAGAUGUCAUUCGAUAUCGUCCGAUCUUGUCCGAUCUCGCCCGAAUUUUGCCGAAUUCCCGUUAAUUCAGGAUCCUGCACAUCUCUUACGUAAAUAGAACGAAACAUCGGUACCGAUUCCGAUAGAUUAAGAGAAAUAGAAACAGAGGGACCUUAAUAAUUAAGUGCCGGCCUUUAUGAAAAUAAAUCUCACCGUGACCUGUGUGUGCAACCUUUCUACUCGAUCAGUAGUAGCCUGUGGCGUUAGUUUUUCACGGCACGAUUGCGAUCGAAAAGAAAAAAAGUACAAAAAGAUACGAGAAAUAAUUAAAAAAUAUAUAUAUAUAUAUAAAGAAAAAAGAAAUAAUGAGAUUCUAAUAAUAAUGAAAAAACAGAAUUAAAAAAGGUCACUUAUACGAUAUGCAGAGACUAUUUUGUUUCUUGCAAGCGGCAUGUAUGCACUACGGAAACGUUCGUAAUUCUUCAAAGAGGAAAAGAAACAAAAAAAAAAAAAAAAAAAGGGAGUACAGUUUUAGCAUAUUUGGCACAAGUUCGAUCGACUAAAAGAGCAAAAGGCACAUUACAUUAAGAUGGAAAUAAAAAUAUGUACGUAUAUAUUUGAAAAUAAAAUAAAAAAAAAAAAAUAUAUGACAAAGGGAGACUGUAAAUUGAAUAGAAAUAAAGCAACGUAAUUGAGAAGACUAAAGAAAAAAAAAAAAAAAAAAAGGAAAGACACAAAAAGCACACAAAGUUUCAAUACUUGUCUUUUUUUUUUUUUUUUUUUUUAAUACUAUUUUUUUUUUCUACUUGUAAUUUCUUUUUUGGUCGUACAACAGAGAUAUAUAUAUAUAUAUAAAACUUAAAAAAACAAAAAAAAGAUUCAAUAAACAGUCUGUGCAUUGUUUUUUUUAAUUUCAAUUAUAUUUCUUUUAUUUGAAUUCAUUCGUCAAUAAAUUUCAUGUUGACCCGAACUUAGUGCAAGUCAUCGAGUGUUACAUCACAAACAGAUAUAUCGUUUACGAUAUACUAAUUAUCAUCAUUAUCGUACGUUACCAAAUAUUAUAAUAAUUAUAAUUACCGUUUAAAGACCAAUUAUGGUUAGCUGAUAAGUCGAUCGAUAAUAGUUCCGAAUUCUAUUUGCAAUAGUUUGUUUAAUUAACGACAUUACAUUGCAUAAUAAUUCAUAUAUUUUUCUUUUUUCCGUAUUCUUUUUUUCUUUUUCGUUCGUACUUAAUCGUAAGGUCCUAACAUCAUUACUUUAGACGAGGGAGAGAGGACAGUACAAAAAUUUGAAACGUGUUUUUUUUUCGCGGGAAAGGAAUAAUCAUGGAAGAUAGUGGGAAAAUUUCGAACGCCGCGAAAUAUCGAAU
Molecule: long non-coding RNA, 2002 nt
Organism: Apis cerana (Asiatic honeybee)
Lineage: Eukaryota; Metazoa; Arthropoda; Insecta; Hymenoptera; Apidae
Source: RefSeq, a predicted model, not a curated record